Molecule: long non-coding RNA, 474 nt
Organism: Ananas comosus (pineapple)
Lineage: Eukaryota; Viridiplantae; Streptophyta; Magnoliopsida; Poales; Bromeliaceae
Exons: 2
Source: RefSeq, a predicted model, not a curated record
UGAUAUAAUAACAUUCAUACAGGUGGCAAUAGACUCGGCCACGCCAAUUGAUGAAGCUGGUCCAAGUGGAGGUUUUAUGGACCCAGCUGAGGCUUUUGGGGGAUAUGGUCCUAUGCGUUCUUAUGGAAGACUCUAUGGUAGCCUGGACUUUGAUGAUUAUGGUUAUGGAGCCAGCAGAAGCAGCAGCAGCAGAUCAUCAAGACUCGAUUGGCGGUACAGGCCUUACUGACUCACCAUGUUGCAAACAACCACCUUGUUGGACAACUAAACACUUUCAAAAGUCGUUUCGUAUUCAAAUUGCUCUAAACAUACUAGAUUUGAUAGCAAAAUCUGUCUACUCCGUACUGGUUGUGUGAUAAGAUAUUUUAUCUUGUUUAUCGUUAUCAUCCUAUAAUAAUUUGGAUUGAGAUAAGGUGUUUCUGGUUUUCACUUACAGCAGUUGAGCUCCUUAAAGAAAAAUCGUCCUUAUGACAA